UGCAUCAUGAAACUUUUUCUCUGGUUAAC
RNAcentral lists this non-coding RNA (29 nucleotides) under Rattus norvegicus (Norway rat). The record is from RNAcentral. Lineage: Eukaryota; Metazoa; Chordata; Mammalia; Rodentia; Muridae.